GCGAAGGUGGCGGAAUUGGUAGACGCGCUAGCUUCAGGUGUUAGUGUUCUUACGGACGUGGAGGUUCAAGUCCCCCCCCUCGCACCA
Molecule: transfer RNA, 87 nt
Filed under: Escherichia coli
Lineage: Bacteria; Pseudomonadati; Pseudomonadota; Gammaproteobacteria; Enterobacterales; Enterobacteriaceae
Also listed under: 2 other names
Description: tRNA-Leu
Rfam family: tRNA
About the family: Transfer RNA (tRNA) molecules are approximately 80 nucleotides in length. Their secondary structure includes four short double-helical elements and three loops (D, anti-codon, and T loops).
Source: RNAcentral